GUAAGUAAGCGUUGAUCCAGAGAUUUCCGAAUGGGGAAACCCAGCAUGAGUUAUGUCAUGUUAUCGAUAUGUGAAUACAUAGCAUAUCAGAAGGCAGACCCGGAGAACUGAAACAUCUUAGUACCCGGAGGAAGAGAAAGAAAAAUCGAUUCCCUGAGUAGCGGCGAGCGAAACGGGAAGAGCCCAAACCAACAAGCUUGCUUGUUGGGGUUGUAGGACACUCUAUACGGAGUUACAAAAGUAUAUAUUAGACGAAUCAUCUGGAAAGUUGAAUCAAAGAAGGUAAUAAUCCUGUAGUCGAAAAUAUAUACUCUCUUGAGUGGAUCCUGAGUACGACGGAGCACGUGAAAUUCCGUCGGAAUCUGGGAGGACCAUCUCCUAAGGCUAAAUACUCUCUAGUGACCGAUAGUGAACCAGUACCGUGAGGGAAAGGUGAAAAGUACCCCGGAAGGGGAGUGAAAGAGAACUUGAAACCGUGUGCUUACAAGUAGUCAGAGCCCGUUAAUGGGUGAUGGCGUGCCUUUUGUAGAAUGAACCGGCGAGUUACGAUUUGAUGCAAGGUUAAGCAGCUAAUGUGGAGCCGUAGCGAAAGCGAGUCUGAAUAGGGCGUUUAGUAUUUGGUCGUAGACCCGAAACCAGGUGAUCUACCCUUGGUCAGGUUGAAGUUCAGGUAACACUGAAUGGAGGACCGAACCGACUUACGUUGAAAAGUGAGCGGAUGAACUGAGGGUAGCGGAGAAAUUCCAAUCGAACUUGGAGAUAGCUGGUUCUCUCCGAAAUAGCUUUAGGGCUAGCCUCAAGUGAUGAUUAUUGGAGGUAGAGCACUGUUUGGACGAGGGGCCCUUCUCGGGUUACCGAAUUCAGACAAACUCCGAAUGCCAAUCAAUUUAACUUGGGAGUCAGAACAUGGGUGAUAAGGUCCGUGUUCGAAAGGGAAACAGCCCAGACCACCAGCUAAGGUCCCAAAAUAUAUGUUAAGUGGAAAAGGAUGUGGCGUUGCCCAGACAACUAGGAUGUUGGCUUAGAAGCAGCCAUCAUUUAAAGAGUGCGUAAUAGCUCACUAGUCGAGUGACACUGCGCCGAAAAUGUACCGGGGCUAAACAUAUUACCGAAGCUGUGGAUUGUCCGUAGGACAAUGGUAGGAGAGCGUUCUAAGGGCGUCGAAGCAUGAUCGCAAGGACAUGUGGAGCGCUUAGAAGUGAGAAUGCCGGUGUGAGUAGCGAAAGACGGGUGAGAAUCCCGUCCACCGAUUGACUAAGGUUUCCAGAGGAAGGCUCGUCCGCUCUGGGUUAGUCGGGUCCUAAGCUGAGGCCGACAGGCGUAGGCGAUGGAUAACAGGUUGAUAUUCCUGUACCACCUAGUAUCGUUUUAAUCGAUGGGGGGACGCAGUAGGAUAGGCGAAGCGUGCUAUUGGAUUGCACGUCCAAGCAGUAAGACUGAGUGUUAGGCAAAUCCGGCACUCAUAAGGUCAAGCUGUGAUGGGGAGAGGAAAUUGUUUCCUCGAGUCGUUGAUUUCACACUGCCAAGAAAAGCCUCUAGAUAGAUAACAGGUGCCCGUACCGCAAACCGACACAGGUAGUCAAGAUGAGAAUUCUAAGGUGAGCGAGCGAACUCUCGUUAAGGAACUCGGCAAAAUGACCCCGUAACUUCGGGAGAAGGGGUGCUCUUUAGGGUUAACGCCCAGAAGAGCCGCAGUGAAUAGGCCCAAGCGACUGUUUAUCAAAAACACAGGUCUCUGCUAAACCGUAAGGUGAUGUAUAGGGGCUGACGCCUGCCCGGUGCUGGAAGGUUAAGAGGAGUAGUUAGCUUCUGCGAAGCUACGAAUCGAAGCCCCAGUAAACGGCGGCCGUAACUAUAACGGUCCUAAGGUAGCGAAAUUCCUUGUCGGGUAAGUUCCGACCCGCACGAAAGGCGUAACGAUUUGGGCACUGUCUCAACGAGAGACUCGGUGAAAUCAUAGUACCUGUGAAGAUGCAGGUUACCCGCGACAGGACGGAAAGACCCCGUGGAGCUUUACUGUAGCCUGAUAUUGAAAUUCGGCACAGCUUGUACAGGAUAGGUAGGAGCCUUUGAAACGUGAGCGCUAGCUUACGUGGAGGCAUUGGUGGGAUACUACCCUAGCUGUGUUGGCUUUCUAACCCGCACCACUUAUCGUGGUGGGAGACAGUGUCAGGUGGGCAGUUUGACUGGGGCGGUCGCCUCCUAAAAGGUAACGGAGGCGCUCAAAGGUUCCCUCAGAAUGGUUGGAAAUCAUUCAUAGAGUGUAAAGGCAUAAGGGAGCUUGACUGCGAGACUUACAAGUCGAGCAGGGUCGAAAGACGGACUUAGUGAUCCGGUGGUUCCGCAUGGAAGGGCCAUCGCUCAACGGAUAAAAGCUACCCCGGGGAUAACAGGCUUAUCUCCCCCAAGAGUUCACAUCGACGGGGAGGUUUGGCACCUCGAUGUCGGCUCAUCGCAUCCUGGGGCUGUAGUCGGUCCCAAGGGUUGGGCUGUUCGCCCAUUAAAGCGGUACGCGAGCUGGGUUCAGAACGUCGUGAGACAGUUCGGUCCCUAUCCGUCGUGGGCGUAGGAAAUUUGAGAGGAGCUGUCCUUAGUACGAGAGGACCGGGAUGGACAUACCUCUGGUGUACCAGUUGUCGUGCCAACGGCAUAGCUGGGUAGCUAUGUAUGGACGGGAUAAGUGCUGAAAGCAUCUAAGCAUGAAGCCCCCCUCAAGAUGAGAUUUCCCAACUUCGGUUAUAAGAUCCCUCAAAGAUGAUGAGGUUAAUAGGUUCGAGGUGGAAGCGUGGUGACACGUGGAGCUGACGAAUACUAAUCGAUCGAAGACUUAAUCAA
This 2835-nucleotide ribosomal RNA is filed under the name Staphylococcus warneri L37603. Its description in RNAcentral is "bacterial LSU rRNA". It matches the Rfam family "Bacterial large subunit ribosomal RNA". Lineage: Bacteria; Bacillati; Bacillota; Bacilli; Caryophanales; Staphylococcaceae. The record is from RNAcentral.